RNAcentral lists this ribosomal RNA (400 nucleotides) under uncultured bacterium. RNAcentral's name for it is "bacterial SSU rRNA". It matches the Rfam family "Bacterial small subunit ribosomal RNA", at positions 356 to 773 of the family's 1533-position model. The record is from RNAcentral.
GGGGAAUCUUGCGCAAUGGGCGAAAGCCUGACGCAGCGACGCCGCGUGAGCGAGGAAGGCCUUCGGGUCGUAAAGCUCUGUCAGAGGGGACGAUAAUGACGGUACCCUCAGAGGAAGCCCCGGCUAACUACGUGCCAGCAGCCGCGGUAAGACGUAGGGGGCGAGCGUUGUCCGGAAUCACUGGGCGUAAAGGGCGUGUAGGCGGCUUUGCAAGUCAGUGGUGAAACACCUGGGCUCAACCCAGGUAUUGCCGUUGAAACUGCAUCGCUUGAGGGUAGAAGAGGAGUGUGGAAUUCCCGGUGUAGCGGUGAAAUGCGUAGAGAUCGGGAGGAACACCAGUGGCGAAGGCGGCACUCUGGUCUACCCCUGACGCUGAGGCGCGAAAGCUAGGGGAGCAAAC